CUCAUGUGAGGAAGCUGAAGACAUGGCGCUGCGCAUAGGACGUGCUUCCAGAAGAGCGUCUGUGUUGGGGAUAAGUCGUCUACUUUUGUCUGCGGUUCCCUGGUGGCAGUCUAGCCAGCAUUCCCAUCAUACUCCUGGCACCUCUCUAAAGUACAUACUACGUUGCGCCGACUGCGGAAGCUGACUUCGCUGGAUGUGGACUGCACCGUUCUGGACUGUGAGGAUGGAGUUGCCCUCAACAAGAAGCAAACCUGUGCCAAUCUUUAUCCUGUCCUGCCCGCUUGGUGCCAUGUGGCAGACGGUUCAGACUACUCAGUGACUGCCACUGCCACUCAGGACCAAGGCUUAACUCACAGGCAUACACUAGCACACACAUUUUUUUAAAAAAAAUAUCUCUCCUUACUGAUAAGCAGGGGUGGGAAGUCGUCCUUUUCUCUCCUCCAGCAGGGGCUGAUGGCUACACCUGUCUUUUUUUCGCUCCGGGGGCAAGUUUGUUUAUUUUUGUUUUUUGUGUACAGAGAUGCCCUAUAGAAUGCAGCUCAGUUUGGGGCAUUCCACUCAACAGCUCCUUUCCCCCCAGUUUUUCCAUGCCCGCCUCCCCUUUCUCUCUGUGGCAGCCUCGCUCCGCACUGCCCCCCUCGCAGCUCCAAUCCCUGGAAGUUUGGAACUAAUGAACUGACUGCUGAGCUGCCGCCACGGAGCUUGGUCCCAAACUAUACUGUACUUCACACUCGAUUUAUUCUCCAGAUGGCAAGACUACGCAGCCCUGCCGGGAGGGGCCACCUCUUCCACUGAAGUGUGAAAGUGGACGGAUGUUGUUUUCGGAUCCUCUGUGAUCAGCUCCGAGCUCCCUCAAACCACCCGGCCCUGUAUGUAGAGAAUAAAUCCCCCUGCUAACAGGCA
Cyprinus carpio (common carp) is the source of this 903-nucleotide long non-coding RNA. The record is from Ensembl. NCBI's taxonomy places the organism in Eukaryota, Metazoa, Chordata, Actinopteri, Cypriniformes, Cyprinidae.